Molecule: ribosomal RNA, 464 nt
Filed under: Vreelandella stevensii
Lineage: Bacteria; Pseudomonadati; Pseudomonadota; Gammaproteobacteria; Oceanospirillales; Halomonadaceae
Description: partial 16S ribosomal RNA
Rfam family: Bacterial small subunit ribosomal RNA
Source: RNAcentral
CCUCGGGGGGCAGCAGUGGGGAAUAUUGGACAAUGGGCGAAAGCCUGAUCCAGCCAUGCCGCGUGUGUGAAGAAGGCCUUCGGGUUGUAAAGCACUUUCAGUGGGGAAGAAAGCCUUGGGGCUAAUACCCUCGAGGAAGGACAUCACCCACAGAAGAAGCACCGGCUAACUCCGUGCCAGCAGCCGCGGUAAUACGGAGGGUGCGAGCGUUAAUCGGAAUUACUGGGCGUAAAGCGCGCGUAGGCGGUCUGAUAAGCCGGUUGUGAAAGCCCCGGGCUCAACCUGGGAACGGCAUCCGGAACUGUCAGGCUAGAGUGCAGGAGAGGAAGGUAGAAUUCCCGGUGUAGCGGUGAAAUGCGUAGAGAUCGGGAGGAAUACCAGUGGCGAAGGCGGCCUUCUGGACUGACACUGACGCUGAGGUGCGAAAGCGUGGGUAGCAAACAGGAUUAGAUACCCUAGUAGUC